CUACGUGCCAGCAGCCGCGGUAAUACGUAGGGUGCGAGCGUUAAUCGGAAUUACUGGGCGUAAAGCGAGCGCAGACGGUUACUUAAGCAGGAUGUGAAAUCCCCGGGCUCAACCUGGGAACUGCGUUYUGAACUGGGUGACUAGAGUGUGUCAGAGGGAGGUAGAAUUCCACGUGUAGCAGUGAAAUGCGUAGAGAUGUGGAGGAAUACCGAUGGCGAAGGCAGCCUCCUGGGAUAACACUGACGUUCAUGCUCGAAAGCGUGGGUAGCAAACAGGAUUAGAUACCCUGGUAGUCCACGCCCUAAACGACGUCAAUUAGCUGUUGGGCAACUUGAUUGCUUAGUAGCGUAGCUAACGCGUGAAAUUGACCGCCUGGGGAGUACGGUCGCAAGAUUAAAACUCAAAGGAAUUGACGGGGACCCGCACAAGCGGUGGAUGAUGUGGAUUAAUUCGAUGCAACGCGAAGAACCUUACCUGGUCUUGACAU
Molecule: ribosomal RNA, 487 nt
Filed under: uncultured bacterium
Lineage: Bacteria
Description: bacterial SSU rRNA
Rfam family: Bacterial small subunit ribosomal RNA
Source: RNAcentral